This 23-nucleotide microRNA is filed under the name Bos taurus (domestic cattle). Its description in RNAcentral is "bta-miR-2450d". The record is from miRBase by way of RNAcentral. Lineage: Eukaryota; Metazoa; Chordata; Mammalia; Artiodactyla; Bovidae.
CAUGGUCAGUAGAGGCGCAUGUG